RNAcentral lists this ribosomal RNA (1346 nucleotides) under uncultured bacterium. Its description in RNAcentral is "partial 16S ribosomal RNA". It matches the Rfam family "Bacterial small subunit ribosomal RNA", at positions 28 to 1381 of the family's 1533-position model. The record is from RNAcentral.
GACGAACGCUGUCGGCGUGCUUAACACAUGCAAGUCGAACGGAAAGGCCCUGCUUUUGUGGGGUGCUCGAGUGGCGAACGGGUGAGUAACACGUGAGUAACCUGCCCUUGACUUUGGGAUAACUUCAGGAAACUGGGGCUAAUACCGGAUAGGAGCUCCUGCUGCAUGGUGGGGGUUGGAAAGUUUCGGCGGUUGGGGAUGGACUCGCGGCUUAUCAGCUUGUUGGUGGGGUAGUGGCUUACCAAGGCUUUGACGGGUAGCCGGCCUGAGAGGGUGACCGGCCACAUUGGGACUGAGAUACGGCCCAGACUCCUACGGGAGGCAGCAGUGGGGAAUAUUGCACGAUGGGCGGAAGCCUGAUGCAGCAACGCCGCGUGCGGGAUGACGGCCUUCGGGUUGUAAACCGCUUUCGCCUGUGACGAAGCGUGAGUGACGGUAAUGGGUAAAGAAGCACCGGCUAACUACGUGCCAGCAGCCGCGGUGAUACGUAGGGUGCGAGCGUUGUCCGGAUUUAUUGGGCGUAAAGGGCUCGUAGGUGGUUGAUCGCGUCGGAAGUGUAAUCUUGGGGCUUAACCCUGAGCGUGCUUUCGAUACGGGUUGACUUGAGGAAGGUAGGGGAGAAUGGAAUUCCUGGUGGAGCGGUGGAAUGCGCAGAUAUCAGGAGGAACACCAGUGGCGAAGGCGGUUCUCUGGGCCUUUCCUGACGCUGAGGAGCGAAAGCGUGGGGAGCGAACAGGCUUAGAUACCCUGGUAGUCCACGCUGUAAACGGUGGGUACUAGGUGUGGGGUCCAUUCCACGGGUUCCGUGCCGUAGCUAACGCUUUAAGUACCCCGCCUGGGGAGUACGGCCGCAAGGCUAAAACUCAAAGGAAUUGACGGGGCCCCGCACAAGCGGCGGAGCAUGCGGAUUAAUUCGAUGCAACGCGUAGAACCUUACCUGGGUUUGACAUGGAUCGGGAGUGCUCAGAGAUGGGUGUGCCUCUUUUGGGGUCGGUUCACAGGUGGUGCAUGCCUGUCGUCAGCUCGUGUCGUGAGAUGUUGGGUUAAGUCCCGCAACGAGCGCAACCCUUGUUCACUGUUGCCAGCACGUUAUGGUGGGGACUCAGUGGAGACCGCCGGGGUCAACUCGGAGGAAGGUGGGGAUGACGUCAAGUCAUCAUGCCCCUUAUGUCCAGGGCUUCACGCAUGCUACAAUGGCUGGUACAGAGAGUGGCGAGCCUGUGAGGGUGAGCGAAUCUCGGAAAGCCGGUCUCAGUUCGGAUUGGGGUCUGCAACUCGACCUCAUGAAGUCGGAGUCGCUAGUAAUCGCAGAUCAGCAACGCUGCGGUGAAUACGUUCCCGGGGCU